Molecule: ribosomal RNA, 524 nt
Filed under: uncultured Enterococcaceae bacterium
Lineage: Bacteria; Bacillati; Bacillota; Bacilli; Lactobacillales; Enterococcaceae
Description: bacterial SSU rRNA
Rfam family: Bacterial small subunit ribosomal RNA
Source: RNAcentral
GACGGACGCUGGCGGCGUGCCUAAUACAUGCAAGUCGAACGCUUCUUUCCUCCCGAGUGCUUGCACUCAAUUGGAAAGAGGAGUGGCGGACGGGUGAGUAACACGUGGGUAACCUACCCAUCAGAGGGGGAUAACACUUGGAAACAGGUGCUAAUACCGCAUAACAGUUUAUGCCGCAUGGCAUAAGAGUGAAAGGCGCCUUCGGGUGUCGCUGAUGGAUGGACCCGCGGUGCAUUAGCUAGUUGGUGAGGUAACGGCUCACCAAGGCCACGAUGCAUAGCCGACCUGAGAGGGUGAUCGGCCACACUGGGACUGAGACACGGCCCAGACUCCUACGGGAGGCAGCAGUAGGGAAUCUUCGGCAAUGGACGAAAGUCUGACCGAGCAACGCCGCGUGAGUGAAGAAGGUUUUCGGAUCGUAAAACUCUGUUGUUAGAGAAGAACAAGGACGUUAGUAACUGAACGUCCCCUGACGGUAUCUAACCAGAAAGCCACGGCUAACUACGUGCCAGCCGCCGCGGUAA